This is an RNA transcript of Gallus gallus (chicken), 16241 nucleotides long. It is a transcript of the gene named coiled-coil domain containing 91, with no coding region annotated. NCBI's taxonomy places the organism in Eukaryota, Metazoa, Chordata, Aves, Galliformes, Phasianidae. The record is from RefSeq and is a predicted model, not a curated record. The transcript is spliced from 15 exons.
GGGGGGGGGGGCAGGGGGCAGGAGAGGGAGGUGGGGAAGAUUGUUCCCAAAAUGUUGUUCCGAAACAGCUGAAGUAUGAGAUGAGAGAGAAAUACACUGUGUAGUCUUCUGAGAUACGAGGAAACUGAGAGGACAGCUGGUGUCACUUUGAAAUCAUAGAAUUACAGAAUCACCAGUUGGAAAAGAUCUCCAAGACCAUCCAGUCCCACCAUCCAACCAUCACCAUUACUUCCCCAAUAAACCAUGUUUCUCAGUACAACAGCCAAAUGGUCCUUAAACACCUCCAGGGAUGGUGACUCCUCUACCUCUCUGUACAGCUUAUUCUAGCACCUAAAAAUUCUUUUGGAGAUGAAUACUUUUUCUUUAUGUCCAACCUGAAUCUCUCCUGGCACAAGUUGAGGCCAUUCCCUCCAGUCCUAUUGCUACUUAUGUGGGCAAAGAGGCUGACUUCCACCUUACCACAGCCUCCCUUUGUGUAUUUGUGGAGAGUGGUAAGGUGUCCCCCUGAGCAGACCAAACAAUCCCAGUUCCCUCAGUUGUCUUACGAGAUAAGAGUUGUGCUCCAGACCCCUCCCCAGCUUUGUUACCCUUCUCUGAACGUACUCCAGGGCCUCAGUGUCUUUCCUCUAGUGAGAGGCCCGAAUCUGAACGCAGUACUGAAGAUGCAGCCUUGAGCAAGGGAUUGAAAGGUUGCUGAUUUAAUAUGCAUGAUUGAGUGAUUGUUGAGCUGUACAAUGCAGGCAUGUACUGUCCUGCUUUUGAUUGUCAGAUGUGUUACCUGCAAAAUAAGGUUGCUAAUAACAUGUGAAAAGCAGUGUAACUAAUUUGAGUACUGUGUAUCAUGUUUCAUCACCUGUUUCCUGUAGAUGUUGUCUGAUCACCCUCCAGUGAAAGUUAAAUGAAGGCUGUGCUAUGAAACAGGUGUAGUACAUAUUUAAAAGACACACGUGAUUUAUAAAGUUUUUAGGUGUUAAAGGAGAAGAACUUAGGUUUAGGUAUUUCUUAGGAGAUGUCGCAUGGUAUAAUAAUUGGUGAGAUUUAUAUUCAGAGUACCAUCUAGAUGAGAAAAGUGAGUUUGUAUAUUAAAGAAGCAUAUCUGUGUGAGUUAAUAUGUAUAAGAGAAGAGGUAAUAAUAGUGCAAGAUGACAUUGAUUGUUUGGGCAAGGCUGCUUCUGUGGCCUGAAGGUAAAAUUUGAAGAUUCAAAAUAGUUUCAAAGACUUGAAAAUGGUUUUGUGAUUCUCGGCAGUUACAGAUGGCUGAGGGAGCAAACUAAUUUUUAUUUCAAGUAGGUGACACGAGAAUAGCAGUAGUUCGUUGCUAGUUAAUCUAUUACCAGGGCAGUGAAACGGUAGUUUUUUCCAUAAGGACACAUAGCAGUGUCUGUGCUUUUCAGUUAAUGUUUAGGAAAAUCUUCCAAGGUAAUUUGUACCUAGAGGUUAGAGCACAGUUUUAAAAAUCAGUCCCGUUUGAAAGAGGACGAGGUAAAACUGUUAGAAAAUGAGCUUACAGCAAAACGUUUCAGAUUGUUCUUACAAUUUUAAAGGUAUUGAUCUGUCCGUCUGCUUAAUGUGUUCCAGUAUGUUUAAGAUGGAUUUGAGAAGUUUAUUUUGUCUAUGAACAACUUUCCUUUUUAAAUUUUUUUUUAAGUUAACGAGAAUGUUGAAAAAAUAUAAUGUGCUUUUAUUCUGAAGACUCUUCAGCAGGUACCAGCUACGCUUAAAUUAUUCAGACAUACAACCUUUCCUUGUAAUGUAAAAUACACUGUGAUCUGACUAGAUUCCAGAUUAGAAGUCUAGAUGAUGAGUGACAACUUUUAUUAAAAAGUGAAGGUAUGUUUAAUGUAUGUCAGUUUCUAAGGAGAGAAAGGAAAUACCUUUGAUUUUUUUGCUUUUUUUUCCCGAAAAACAUCAUGUUUUCAAAUAUGAAUUUGUUUUUUUACAAUAAUGUUUUUGCUAAAAUCUGGAAAAACAGAACAAAACCAAAAGCCAAACAAACAAACAAACAAGCAAACAAAAAACACCCAGAGAAACAGCCUGAAAUUUCAAACUGUGAAAUGCAUUCGUUUUUGAUAUUGUAGAGUGUAAGCGUAGAGUAUGAAUUGCAGUUGUUCCAAUAGUCAAGAUUUUUCCUGCUGACCUCAGUGAAACAAAACUUGGCUUCAUUGGCAAGUUGGUAGACUAAAGCAGUGUAAUUGUCCAGUAAAUAAUGAAGUUAAAAGAUAUCAGUCUGCAUAUAGUUUAUUCUUUUAAACCUGAAUUUCUGUCUUCUCAGCCUUCACAGAUUCAGAAUGGUUUGGGCUGGAUGGGACCCUUAAGAUCAUCUAGCUUCAACUCCACCUGCUGUAAGCAGGGACACCUCCCUCUAGACCAGGUUACUCAAAGUCCCAUCCAGCCUGGCUUUGAAUGCUUCUAGGAAGGGCCAUCCACAGCCUCACUGGGUAACCAGUUCCAGUGUCUCACCACCCUCUCAGUAAAGAAUUUCUUCCUAAUAUCUUGUCUAAAUCUACCCUCUUCCAGUUUGAAAACAUUUCCCCUUUUCCUUUUGGUAUAUGCCCUUCUAAAAAGUCCCUACCCACCUUUCCUGUAGGCACCCUUCAGUUACUGGGAGGCCACUAUUAGGUACCUCCAGAGCCUUCCCUUCUCCAGUCUGAAGAGCCCCAGCUAUCUAAGCCUGUCUUCAUAGGGCAGGUACUCCAUCCCUCUGAUCACCUUCAUGGCUCUUCUCUGCACCUGCUCCAACAACUGCAUGUUCUUCUUCUGUUGGGAGCCCCAGAACUACAUUUGUAUUACUUCAAUUUAAACUGUCAUAGAAUCUGUAUUUCCAGUAGGUGUUUGGAAGAAGGGAGGAGAUACAAGUUUUUUUGUUGUUUAUUUGUUUUAUUAAGGUCUUAGUAUGUGUUAGUGGUUUUCUUUCAUGUAUCCCUGGUCAUCUGUCAGCUUUUGUAACCUAAAAUUGGAAUAGUGUUCCCUAAACUUGACCACUUUGUUGUAAAUUGUCUAUACACCACUUAAGGAAAAACAAUAUCCCUUUCAUAAUAUUUAACUAAUAUGUUUAAAAGUGUUCUUUAUUUUUAUCUUUUUUGUUCUAUUUUUUGAUGAAGAGAAAAGCUUCAUUUUUAAAUACAAAUCUAAGAGACCUACUUAAUUAUGAAGCUCAUGUUUUUGGAUGAAAGUGUACUUUUCCAGUAACACUAAUUUAAAAAUAAAAAAAAUUAAAAAUUUAAAAAAAGGCAAAAAAUUCUCCAAUUCUCCUAUUUUAAUAUUUAAUUUGAAAAGAUCUCUACUUGAGUACUUUAAUAUUAUUUAUUCAAGUUACUGCAUGUUCUUUUGAGUAUGUAUGUAUAUUCAUAGACUAUGCUUUAGUUGUGCAUGUCGGCAUAGUAAAUUUUUUCUGUGAUGCUCUGUUACUAAGUCUGUGUCAAAAACUCUAUUUUCAGAUAUUUAAGUAAAUGACAAAGUUCUCUUGAGUUAAAACUUGAUAACUUUUAUGCUUGUAAAGCUUCUCACUUCAUGAUACUGAUUCCUCUUUUAAGUUCUUGUAAAAAUACAUUUUCUACUAGUAAAAAUAUUUGAUGGCAUUCAGGUAUGUUGGGUAUUAAAACAAUAGAGAAUGUUAACUAUUUCAAUUAAGUUGUUGAAACUUAAUAACUUAAGUAGAAAUGCUUUUGAAAUAUGACCAUUCUAUUUUACUUCUAAAACCUCAAUUUCUUAGGUUUAUCUUAGGUUAUGGAAGAACCUGUGUGUCCUAGCAUUCCAAAACCGUUAACAGUGGAUGUUUUUGUACCAGUUGUUUAUUUCCUUCCAAGUAAGAAGAUUGUGUUACCUGAAUAAGCAGUUUACAAAAAGUAAACAUACAGUUGAAGUGUCCAAUUGCAUGAGCUCUUUCCUGUCUGGUUUUGAAAUGCAGCUCUUCUUUUAGGAGAAACAUAAAAUAACAAAGCACUGUAUCUGUGAAGACCAAGAAUAAAAUAUAGAUAGAGAUUGCUGAAUCUUAAUUUGGCUCAAAAAGCUUUAAUUUGUUAUGAAACAUGAACUUAAAAAAAAUAAUAAUAAUUGCUAUUUGUAUGUCUUACCUUAUUCACAGUUGAAUUAUGCAACUUAAUGAACUUUUUUGAGAGUUUUGAACUAAUUACAAUUCAAAUUAAAGAAUUUUGAGCAAAUUAAUCAGUUAACCAAGUUUUUUGCUACUUCCAGAGAAUAAAUAUCCCCCGUGCAAUUCUUCUUGUAAAACUUUUUUUUCAUGCUAACGUCAGCCCAUCCUUCCUCAGGAAAUAUCUUUAAGAGAUUUACUCUAGACUGUUUUAUGAAGUCAUGACAAAAAUAUUUCACUAGGAUUUUGCUAUCUUUGUCCCCCUCUGUGUCAGUGGAGACUUCUAGAUAUACUUUCCCUCCAUUCUUCUCUCUGGAAGUUUGUUCACUUGUCAUUAACAAACCCCGUUUUAAAAUGGUCUUGAACAGGUAUUGGUUGUUAAUAGUAUAACUUAACUGGAGAAUGAUCUCUUAUAUUUUUAUUUUUUACAGCCUCUGCUGCUGUGAUUCAAUACAUUUCCUAAGCUGUACUGUUCUUAAUAAAACUGAAAGUAUUGAAUCUUAGACCAUGCAUGGAAGGGAAGUAGAGGUUUUCUAGUCAAAAACUUUGCUUAAAGCAGGAUAAAGCAUAGGUUGUUCAGAAACUUGUUCAAUUCUGAGUGUAUCCAGGGAUGAGGAGUCCACAGCGUUUAUGGGCUACCCAUUCCAAUAGUAGGUCAGAAUUUUCACUAUUCUGGCAUUUCUCCUGUGCAUCUUGACCCUAUGUAAGUCUGAUGCCAGUCUAGCUCUGUCUUGUAAGAGAACUCUGUGCAAUUGUAUGGUAUAGCAUGAGCGUUAUUGGAAUCUUGUGUAGUCGCUUUUGCUCAAGUUACAGUGCGAUUACAGACUGAUCUGUGCUACCUAGUUAGUGGAAGACAAAUCAAGCUUUUCUUAGCUAUUUAUAGAAUGCAGACAUAUUCCCAGGAUUCAUAGUUUGUAGUCACCUGAAGCAAGGUUACAGAUUGUUGAUCUGGAUUUGCUUAAUUACAGGUAUAUGCCUGGCUGUGAAAAACAGAAAUGCUCUUUAAUUCUAACAGUGUCUCGUGUUGGUGUUAUCUUUCCUUUAUUUCAGAAAGCAUAACAUAUUUUCGUUAUAUCAGCUUUAUUAAAUUUAUUACAGAAGGUUGUGUAUAUUUUGUAAAUUCUGUGACUUUUGAAGUUAAAAGAUGUUUGUGAUGCAGAAAGCAUUUAGGGGGACAUUAAAUAGAUUUUGAAAUUAUUUAAGUGGUUGAUUAUUUUAUGAUAAAACAAAAGCGAAAAGAUGUUUUUGCGGUCUGGUCACAAGAAACUGAUUGUGGUGAAGACUGGAAACCUUUGAGGGCCUUUCUAUAACAUCUUAAGUUGUUAGAAUUCAGUCUUCUGAGGAAAGUGACCGUUAUUUGUCGAGAUGAAUGGUAGUAUGGUCCUUUCUCUAGAGUUAAAAUGGUCUACAUUUGUAUUCAGAUACCUGCAAUGAAAAAAGGUGUUUUUUUUUUUUAAAGCAGUAAGUUCUUAAAAUUGGGAAUAGCUGACCAAGACUCAUGGGCAGCAAUCCUCAGUGACUAAGUAAAUGUGUCACUAAAAUUGCUUUUGUCAAGAGGUAACCCUCUGGAGUUAAGUCCGUCCUUGUCUUGUUAGUGAGUUGUUUGGUUUUUUUUGUUUGUUUGUUUGUUUUCUGUUUUUUUCCUGACUGUGGGUAGAUCUCAGUGACUAAAGCAUUUAGAAGCCAGACUAUACUGACCUUCUCUCCAUUCAGCCUCUUAAUUUGAAGUAUCUCUGUGGCACUUGUGAAGUCUUUUCUUAUGGAUGAUGUUGUCCUGAAUACUUAGGAUUGGGCAAGGAAUCCCCAUGUGCUCUAUGGAUUGUGGUCUAAUAGUCAAAAUGGUACACUUGAGAGGUAGAUCUCUAACUCAGGAAAUGCUCUGCAGUAAAGCUUAGCAACUAUUUCUGAAUCACAAGUAGAGUAAUAUUUUAGACUUUGGCCUAGCGUUGACACCUUCUUAAUGAUCCAGGAGAAAAUGCUUCUGUUUCAAUUUGUAUUUGUUCUUUCCUGUACUUAAAUACACACCACGUAUGUGGUUGUUAAACAUUUACAGCAGCUUUUCAGGUAGUUUUAGUUUUACAUGUACAGUUGGGCAGUUGGGCAUCAAUGGAAAGUUGUUUUCCCUGCUAGUAAUUUUCUAUCUAAAUGCCUCCUGAAAGCUAAGCAGCAUGCUACAUCAGCACUUCUCUAGGAAGCCUAUUCCAGUAGUUAACCACCUUCACAGUAAAGACUUUUUUUUCCUAAUUUGUGGUCUGAGCCUCUCCUGGUACAGUUUUGUGCUAUUCCCACACAUGUGGCCAUCAGUUCCCAGAAGCAGAACCUGGUACCUCUCUCUGCUUUCUCCAGUCAGGGAGCUGCAGCAAGCAAUGAGAUCUUCUUUCAGCUUCUCUUCUCUGGACUGAACAGCCCAAGUAUCCUCAGCUUCUCCUCACAGGACAUGCCUUCCAGCCUUGUUACCAGCUUCAAUGCCCUCUUUUGGGUACUGUCAAGAAUUUUAACAUCCUUUUUGUAUUGUGGGGACCAGAAGUACACUCUGGUAGUACUCAGAGUGGCACCACACAGCUGAGGAGCCCACCACUGGUUGCAGUACUCCAGAUGUGACCUCAGUAGGACAGAGUAGAGGGAGAGGAUCACUUCCUUUGACCCGCUGGCCAUUCUGUUUUAAUUCACCCUAGAAUACCAUUUGCCUUCUUGGCCCCUAGGGCACACUGCUGGCUCAUAGUCUGCCUGUUGUCCACCAUAACACCUAGGUCCUUCUCUGCAGUGUUCCUUUCCAGUAGGUCAGCCCCUAACUUGUACUGAUGUGUGCAGUUAUCCCUCCUCAGGUGUAGGACUAUACACUUGCCCUUGUGGAACAUCAUAAUGUACCUCUCCAACCAACUCUUCAGCCUGUCCAAGUCUUGCUGAAUGGCAGUGCAGCCUUCUGGUGUGUCAGCCAAUCUUCUCAGCUUUGAAUAAUCAGCAAACUUGCUGAGGGUAUAAUCUAUCCCUUCAUCAAGGUCAUUCAUGAAGAUUUUGAACAAGACUAGACUCAGUACAAACCCCUGGGGAACUUCGCUAGCCUCCAAAUAGACUUCAUGUUGCUGAUGACAACCCUCUGAGCUCUGCUAUUCAGCCAGUUCUCAUUUGAGGAGCCAUGUUAUAUGAGUACCGAUAAGUUCUAAUACCACAUUUUUUUUGUAGCAUUUACUCUGUAGAUUAUCUUAAUACUUAGUAUUUUGUGAAAUUUGGGGAUUGUUUUUUUGCUUACAUUUGCUUAGUACCUUUCAGAUGAGAAUAUGGUUCAUGAAUAACAGUUCUAUUUUAAUUUACUUAAUAAGAACUGUAUCCAAGGAAAGAGUAACUUGUUCAGUUAAUGACUGUAUAUAAUUAUUGAGAUUUUUUGUCUACUCUUAUUAUACUUAUAGAAGUGUAUAUAUUAGUGUUUAAUGUAUGCUGUGCUUUGUUGUUCUGAAAAUGUUUCUUAAAAUAAAAUUGGGAAAGGCAGUUACAGAAGUCACUCCAUUCCACAUCUACACUUUUCUUUCUUUUUUUUCCUUUUUUGAAUGCCUCCAGGGGCAGUGAAACCACCACCUCCCUGGGCAGCCUGUUCCAAUACCUUAGCACUCUGAGAAGGAGUAUUUCCUAAUAUCCCACCUGAACCUCUCCUGGCACAACUUAAGGCCAGAACCUCUUGUUCUAUUGCUAGUUAUCAGGGAGAAGAGGCUAACUCCUGCCUUGCUGCAGCCUCCUUUCAGAUAGUUGUAGGGAGCAAUAACGUCUCCUCUGAGCCUCCUCCAGUCCCAGUUCCCUCAGCCACUCCUCGUAAGGCUUGCGUUACAGACCCUUCAAAUUUGAAUAGUUUCAUCAUGCGUUGUUAGCAGUUAUAGAGAAUGGCCUGAGCAAACUUAUCAUUGUUGACCCUGCUUUUUGCAGGUGGUUGGACUAGAUGACCUACUGAGAUCCAUUGUCUGAAUUACUGUAUGUUUUGCUCCAUACAAACUUGAUCAUAAAAUCCAGUAUUUAAUGAAAAUGCAGUGACUUACUCUGUAAUCCGUGAAAAGCUUUCAUUUCACAGGAGUGUGACUCCGGGAGUGACUUCUGAAGCCCUAUAGGAUGUGACUGUCUGGAGAGCUAAUGUUUUGGAAAUUGCAUAGGUUACCUGCUAUGUUUUUUCCAGCCAUAAUUUCUGUCAGUCUGCAUUCUGGAGGUUGAUUUCUUAUUACCUAAUUUUACAGUUACUUAGUUCCAGUAACAGGUAUGUUUUAAGAGACCACAUUUAGUCAUGGUAAGGCUGUGUGUGUUGUUUCAAGUUUGUUUGGUUUGGAUUAUUUUUUUGUCUUUUCUAUCUCAUCCUUCUGUGGGUUGUCAGCACUUAAUGUAAUCUUUCCAAUUCUGAUGACACUUUUUUUGCCUUAGUCUUCACUGGCAGCUGCUCUUCACACACUCCUUGAGUGGAUCAUUCAAAAGGUGGGAACUCUGGGAGUGAUGUCUCUCCUGCUGAGAGCAAAGAUCAUGUUUGUAACCAGUUAAGGAACUUGAACAUCCAUAAAUCUAUGGAUUCUGAUGAGAUGCAUCCCAGAGACCUGAGGGAAUUGGCUGAUGUAGUUGCCAGGCCACUCUCAGUGAUAGUUGUGGCAGUCAGGUGAAGUCCCUGGUGACUGGGGAAAAAGGCAAUGUGACACUCAUUUUUAAGAAGGGUAGAAAGAAUAACCCAGGGAACUACCAACCUGUAAGCCUCACCACAGUGCCAGGGAAGGUCAAGGAGCAUAUCUUCCUGGAAGCUGUGCUAAGACAUCUGGAAGAGAAGGAGGUGAUAAGGAGCAAGCAGUGUGGCUUCAUCAGAGGCAAGUCCUCCUGACCAACCAAGUGGCUGCCUGUGAUGGUAUAAUUGUAUCACUGCACAAGGGAAGGGCCACUGAUGUCUUCGGUCUGGACUUAAAUAAGGGUCUUUAAAAUGGUUCCCUACAAUAUCCUUUUCUUCAAAUUGGUAAGACAUGGAUUUGAUGGGCAGACUGUUCAGUGGAUGAGGAACUGGUUAUGAGAUCGUACCCAGAGAGUGGUGGCCAGUGGCUCAAUGUCCGGAUGGAGAUCAGCGGUGAGUGGUGUCCCUUGAGUCAGUACUGAGACAGACCAGCAUCUAACAUCUUCAUCAUAGUGUCAACAGUGGGACUGAGUGCACCUUCAGGAGUUUUGCAGAUGACAUCAAGCUGUAUGAUGCAGUUGACAUGCCUAGGGGAUGGGAUGCCAUCCAGACAGACCUAGACAGGCUUGAGCAGUGGGCCCAGGAUAACCUCUUGAGUUUUAAAAAAUCCAAGUGUAAGGUCUUGCGCCUGGAUUGCUGCAAUUUUCACCAAACUAGGAGAAGAAAUGAUAGAGCAUAGCCUUGACAAAGAGAACUUGGGGGUACUGGUGGAUGAUAAGCCAGACACGAGCCAGCGAUGUGCCUUUGUAGCCCAGAAUACCAACCAUAUCCUGGGCUGCGUCAAAAGAAGCAUUGUCAGCUGGUCAGGGGAGGUGAUCUGUACUGGUGAGACCUCAGCUGGAGUACUGCAUCCAGACGUGGAGUCCCCAGUACAUGAGAGACAAGGACCUCUUGGAGUGCAUCUAGAGGAGGGCCACAGAAGUGAUCCAGGGGAUGGAACACCUUCCCUAUGAGGAUAAGCUGAGAGAGCUGGGGCUGUUCAGCCUGGAGGAGAGAAGGCUCUGGGGGAAGCUAGUAGAGGCCUUUUAGUAUCUAAAGCAAAGAAGGAAGGGGACAGACUCUUUAGCAGGGUCUGUUGUGAUAACACAAGGGGAGAUGGUUUCAAACAAAAGAAUGGGAGAUUUAGUUUGGAUAUAAGGAAGAAGUUCUUAUCAGUAAGGAUAAUGAAGCACUGGAACAGGUUGCCCAGAAAGGUGAUGGAAGGCCCAUUCUUGGGGAUGUUCAAGAGUAGACUGUAGGGGACUCAGUGCAACUUGAUCUAGCUGUAGAUGCUCCUCCUGUUCGUUGCAGGGGAGUUGGAUUAGAUGACAUAUAAAGGUCUCUUUCAACUCAAAUGAUUCUAUGAUUCUAUGAGAUAUUGCUCCCAGUCCAUAAGGAAAGAAAAGUUUUAUGCAAGAAGUAAUAUAUGUUUGGAAAGACAGUGUCUCCUUGUAAUAGUUCUUGUUUACUUCAGAUAAAGUCUUAGUACAUGUCAACCGCUGAAUUUCUGAAAUGUACUUUGUCCAGGUUCGUUAGUACUUAGUCUAUACAUUGUUUACUUAUAAUACAUUCUGAUUUUUCUGUUAUUUAUUUAUUUUGUCAUCAUUAAACAAAAUAUGUAAGCAGGCUAGUGUUUCUUUUUUACAGAUAGAUACUUAGCUUUUUGUUCAAAAGCAGAGGUGUGUUUAAAUGUGUGAAUGUGUAUUCUAUGUAGCAAGGGAUCCUUCCUAGCUGGUUGAGCAUCAUUUAACCUAGAAUUUGUAUGGAAUCUCCGAAGACUUGGGAAUUAGUGGAUUAGCAGUUAAACAUGGAAACACCAUUGAUACUUGGAUUUCUUUGAGAAUUUUUUUUUCCUCUGUUCCAUUUAGAUGAUAUGUGGCAUGAUUCAAAAUCAUGCUUGCCAAACAGCCAAGAAACGCCUGUUAAAAUUUGUGAAGCAAGGUGGUGUUAAGUCAAGAUAAGUCUGAUAAUGAGCUCAAGAUUAUGAAUGUGAAAUGUAAUGUAAAGAUGAUGGAUCCAAUAACAAGUUCUUCUUCUUUCUUCUUUUGCCCUGCAUUUGAGUGUGUGUGUGUGUGUGUGUGUGUGUGUCAAAAGUGACUUAUUUCUGUUUUAUGUAUCUCUAGGCUCUUAAAAGUGUUCUUGUGGUUAUUUUUUGUCAUCUUGGAAAUUCUUGCUAAUGUUUAAUACAUUUUUUUCCUACAGAGACAUGUUUUUACUGCACAGAAGUGGUGCAUGCGUGUGAUGAUAAAUUAAUUGAUCAGUGUUCUUGUAUUAUUUUUCAUACUUUAUAGAUUCUUGUUUGUUUUCCCUCAGCCCUACUCAACCCAACUUCUCUAAUUUAGCGUGCCUUUCCAAAAUUGCUUUGUUACACAUCUAUGAAUUUCUUCUAGUUUGAGUUCUAAACCGUAGUAGAGCCUAUGGGACCUGAAGCCAAGACAUGCAUAGUGUAGAUAAAAUAGUCAUUUGCCUUUCUAAAGAUUUUAGCUUUGAUUCCUAUAUGAAUGCUGUUUCUUUGAAAAGGUUUGGAACGUUACUAUUACGUAGUUUUAGAAGUUCUUGUUAAGGUGCUAAGCCACACUGAAAGUAUUAGAUAUAUUUCAGGAACAUAUUUUUAGACUGAGUUUAUUCUAAAGCAGUUAGUUUGGAGUUUUCCAAGCACAUCAGCAAAAGUAAGAGUUAAGAAAGCAAUUCCACCUUUUCACAGAAACAUUUCUGUUAGCUGAAUCAAGUGUGUUAAGUAUAUUAAAAUUUCUGUUACAAAGUAAAUCAGGCUGUAUACAGGGUUAAAUGAAACUAGAAGUGCUUCAAUAAUCAUUAAUGCCGAAAGACCUAUUACUAUCGUAUGUUUUAAUUCAAAUUAAACAGAAUGCAAUUAUUGAGUGUUCUUAUGGUUUUAUGUAUAUAGCAAUUCACAUUCUUUCCCACACUGAAGCUCUUUUUAAAUCAAGAGGAGAGCUCAUUUAACAUAGCAGCUUUCUAUAGUAAAAAUAAUUCACCCAGAAUUUUCAGAUUCCUUUAGUACCUCAGAUUUAGGUUAAAUUUUAUAGUGCCUAUGUAAUAUGCCAACUUGUCUUGGAAUGUCAUUUAGUAGUGUAUGUUCACUUUCUCAUUUAUACAUUGCUGCCUUGAUUCUGCAGUGCUGUUCCAAUUUCACUUUCAUUGCAAUCAUUUAUCUUUGCAUAUUUCGUAUUUUUCAGUAACAUUAAAGCUCUGAAUGUUAACAGAAUUCAUGAAUAGUUGACCAGUUAAGAUUAAUACUGACUGGAAGAAUACCCAAUCACCUUCCCCGUCAAAAACAAAGUAAACAUUCACAGUCCCUAAAAAGAUAUGUAGUUCUGAAAAUCAAAAGUAAAUAUUGGAUCAUGCUUUUUUUCGGUUGAACCAGAUCUACUUACAUUUUAAUAGUGUUGAUUUAAUUGAAGUUUAUCAAUAAGAACUUGGAAAUAAAUAUAUUAAACUUUGGAAGAUGUUUAUUUAAUCUUUUCCUGGUAAUUUUUUUCAACAGUGGAUAUAAAUUGAAUGUGUCCAGUUUGACAGAAAUUUGGAGACCUUCUGAAUUGUUCUAUUUCUGAAGAUGUGCUUUCAUUGUAUUAAGUUUCUCCAUCCUAUAAACUGAAGUCAAUUAACUUUGCAAAUGUUUUGACAUUUUAUUAAAAAAAAAAAAAGUUUUUUUGUAUUCAUUCGCAUAUCAUGGUGAUUUUUUUUUUUUUUUACUUUUUUUAUUUAUACAUGGCUGUUCAUGGGAGGAUAUUAUAUCUUGGGUUACUUUCAGUAGCAACGUAACUUAUCCUGCAGUUUUGUAAAAGGAAUGUCAGCUUAACUGUAAAUAUUUCAAAAUACCACAGAAUUUAGGGCUACAACUCAAAAAUGCUGAUCAGUUUGUAAAAUCUAAAUCAACCCCUACAUGAAACCUAGAGAAGGAUCUCUGUGGUAGCAAAAAAAUUUCCAGAAAUUCACUGCAAGAUUUUUCUGAACUGCAGUUUGUGCUGACAGCUAGGAAUAAAUGGGAAAAGCAGGAAACAUAUUUGAUUUAAUCACACUGCUGAUUUGGAAAAACAACUUAAGAAUAGACGCUGUUUUUAUAUUUUAAUUUGUGAUCACAGAGCUGUAAAGUACACUGCAUAUUUCCAUAUCAUUAAAUUGAGUUAUGUUCAUUAGUUAUUAAGAAAAUCCUUCAUUUCAGAAUCUAAUGGUCUGAAAUUCUGUUUUGUUUUGUUUUUAAUAUUCAGAUGAACUGGGUUAUGUUGCUGUUAGUAUCAUUUAUGUAGGUACUAGAGAAUUGACUGCUGUGUUUCAGAGCAAUAGACAUAACUUUAAAAUUAACUUUUCCUAUUUUCCCAUCUUAAAAAGCAUUUGUAACUGUCUUAUUUUGAAAAGUUCUUCAAUAUUGUUGUGCUUAUCUUUUCUCUUGAAGAUUUUCAAAUUCCAACUUAAAAGUUCAACCUUUUUUACUUGUAUCAAUAAAAUUUGCUCUUAAAAGAAAGCUUGCAGCUCUUGUAACCUCUGUGUGAAAUUAAAAAAAAAAAAAUAUUCUAUAGGUCUCUUGAUCUUUAGUAGAACUGGUACAUUAGGAUGAUUUCAGGUACCUUGUGGAGUUCAAGUUAAGCAUUGAAAUGACUGAAUCCUGUUUUCUGAAUGAGAAGGUGAUAAGGUUAGGAAGAGCACAUAGAUGAGCUCUUGUAUCCAAGUGUUUAUUCAUCUGUCAUUUAACUGAGUUACAAUAUAGGAGUCCAUUUUUUUCUUUUGACUCCUAGUUGAUCAUAAAAUUAACACAUUUGUCUUAUGAAACUGACCAGUGAAAUAUAAUUAUUUUCCUGCAGUGUACUGUGUUGUAUUACUUCAUCUUCCUGGUCUUCAGGAUUUAACUACUGAUUUCUACCGUACUGUAGUACUUGUUGAAAAAUGGAUGAUGAUGAUUUUGGAGGAUUUGAGGCAGCAGAGAGCUAUGAGUGUGGAAAUGGUGACAAGCAGAUGACAUCUCCUGCUAUUCCAUGGGCAGCAUUUCCUACAGAGUUUGAAGUCCAUAUAUCUCAGAAUGUUUCUCCCGAUGUUCUUCUGGAGCACUGUGUGCCUUCAUCCUUCCUGGAUGCUUCUGACUCAUUCACUUCAUCAAGUGAUAAUGUUGCAACAUCUAUUCAGAAAGUCAACAAUGUGAUAAACUCAGCUGUUCUUGAAGAACAGAUUCAAGUAGAUAUUCCAGUUGCCUCUUUGAAUUUAACAGAAGAUAAGUCUUUAGUCACAUCAUCCAUUGCUAUGGAUGAUGCUCAGACACAGAGAACAGAUGAAUCAAAGAGCUGCCUUCAACAAACUCUAGCAAAUCUAGAAAUCAAUCUUUGUGCUGCUGAAGAAGAAAAAUUAAAAAUUAAAAAGGAAUUGGAAUAUUUACUUAAAAAGCAUAGUGUUCAAGAAAUGGAUUUUUUGAAGGAGAAAAAAGAAAAAGCUCUUUCACAUGAAGAUCAUUACAAGAUACUCCAGGAAAAGCAUAAGCAGGAGUUAGAAGAUAUGAGAAAAGCUGGACAUGAAGCCUUGAGUAUUAUUGUUGAAGAGUUCAAGUCAUUGCUACAGUGUACAGUUCAACAGCAAGAAGCAGCUACUGAAAAACAGUAUAUACUAGCAAUUGAAAAACAUUCUUACAAAUGUCAAGAGCUUCUUGAUGUUCAGCAUCAGAGACUUCUUGACAUUUUGGAAGCAGAGAAGGAAGUCUUAUCAGAAAAGAUAGAAGAGGCUUUGAUGCAGCAGUCACAAAAACAUAAGGAAAUGCUGGACAAAUGUUUGGAUGAAGAAAGAAAAAGAAGUAAGGAGGCUGUAGCAGCUGCUGCAAAGGCUGAAAAAGAAAUAGUACAGGAAGUUGUUCUGAAAGCUGUAGAGGAGGAAAGGAGAAAUAUGGAGAAGAUUCAUGAAGAAGAAAGAAAUAUGUGGAAAGCAGAACAUGAGAGACUUAACAAGAAGAUUGCCCAGGCUGUUUGGGAAGCAAUGCAAGAGCAAAGAAGACAUAAUGAAGAAAUUAUCAAGGAAGCAUUAAUGGAGGAGCGAAAACAAAGUGAAAAGGCAAUUGAAGAAGCUGUUAAAAGGACAAGAGAGGAACUAAUGGAAUAUAUUAAGGAGCAGAAAAGGGUGGAACAGGAAAAGGAUAUGGCAGAAUUUGCUUGCACUUCGUUUUUACCAUUUGUCCUCAUCAGUUUUGCUACAGUUUUGUUGUGCUUCAGCAAGAUGUCAUCAUGGAGAAGUGGGAGAAGCGUAUGAUUACUAUCAGCAAGAAUGUUAAAACUGACAAUUGUACCAUGGCCAUCAGAAGGAAUAAGUUACCUUGGCACUCACCAGGAGGGGCUCUGAACUGCUGAUGUUGAAAGAAGAAAAGAAGGAAAUAGUCAUAGUAAGUGUCCUUAGGUGGAGAGAUGAGUGUGACCUAGAAUGUAAAUAACCUCAGGUCAAACUACAGAAUACAUCAGAAAGCGGAGUCUCAGUUGCUGUUCAGAACUCUUUAGAAAGCAGUGAAAAACAUAAACUGAGAACCAGAACCUAAAAUACUCAACUAAAAUCAGGUAGGUGCUCCAUCUUUUGUCUAAAGUCUUAAGUAUCAGGAAUGAGAUCUGAAUCCCAAGCUUGCUUUUUUAUUACUGGACCCUCCACUCUAAAGAAAAGAAGGAAAAUGAAGUACUGAAGAAGUAGCUUAAAUUCUUUUAUCUUAAAUCUCUUUAUUUCACAUAGUAGUUAUGCUCUAAUUCUGCAUAAACAAACAAACAAACAAAAAAUGGGAUGAAGAAUGACAUGCCAGCAUUUGAAAUGCAACAUUAUUCAACUGGGAGAAAAAGGAAAAGAAUUAGAUCUUCAGGCAGAGUUGCAUUAGAACUAGUAAUUGACUCUAUUCCACUCAAGGAAGAAAGAACAGUGUUUUUCGGCUUUGACCUGGCAUUUGGCAGAAGUACAAAACUCAACCAGAUGCAGCAACUGGCAGUGAAGGAGGGCAAAUCAGCCUUGGUCAUCGAGUCUGGAGAGGUCAUAUCAAUACAGGUCGUAUCAAAAUAUUCCAGUUUCAAAACAAAGUGAGAAAAAGUAAUGAAAGGAGUAAAUGUAAGUACUAAGUAGAAAGUGGUAUUUCUGCCCUGGAAAGAUGCUUCAGAUUUCCUAAGUAUUCCUAGGAGGGACAAAAUAUAUAUAUUUUUUUGUUUACAUGUGAGAGCACAAAAAUGUACUACCAGGAAGUAGAUUUCAGAUGAAAUACUGAUUCCACUCUAAAAGCUUCUGCAUGGCAGAUGUCUGCAUGACAGAUCAUCAUAAUCCUGAAUGGAGAGGAUCUUUCUCAGUCUGCUUGUUUGAGGAUAACAAGUUAAUUCCCCAUCAGAAAAUGAGCCUGCCCACAUGUCAUCUAUCUAAACAAAGAGGUACUGUGCUAUAGCAUGAAGUUAGUCCUGUCUAGAAACUUUACCAUUAAUCAGAGAAAUCUUCUUUUCCUAAACUUUCUAUGAAAAAGUUCUUUUUUUUUUUUUU